This 301-nucleotide ribosomal RNA is filed under the name uncultured bacterium. RNAcentral describes it as "partial 16S ribosomal RNA". It matches the Rfam family "Bacterial small subunit ribosomal RNA", at positions 509 to 807 of the family's 1533-position model. The record is from RNAcentral.
CAGUCGCCACGGUAAUACGAAGGGGGCUAGCGUUGCUCGGAAUCACUGGGCGUAAAGGGUGCGUAGGCGGGUCUUUAAGUCAGGGGUGAAAUCCUGGAGCUCAACUCCAGAACUGCCUUUGAUACUGAAGAUCUUGUGUUCGGGAGAGGUGAGUGGAACUGCGAGUGUAGAGGUGAAAUUCGUAGAUAUUCGCAAGAACACCAGUGGCGAAGGCGGCUCACUGGCCCGAUACUGACGCUGAGGCACGAAAGCGUGGGGAGCAAACAGGAUUAGAUACCCCUGUAGUCCCUGUCUCUUAUAC